UAUCACGAUUCAGUCUGUUAUGAGGUUGGGAUUCUGGUGGUUGGGACUCUGGUGGUAUUUCUGACGUCCUGUGUUUUAUCUUGCCUUCUUUAACAGCAUCCAUUGUAUCAGUCAGUUAAAGUACGUCACUUAUAUUAAUUAGACUAGUGUUAAAACAUUAUUCAUUAUUGCAGUUAUUGUAAUCAUAUGAUCGUUAACUAUCAUGAUUCAAUUAUUUAAAGAUACAUUGUUAAAAUCAGAUAAUCUGGCCACUGCUUGGAUUUAGCAGGUUUUAAAAGAUCAAAGCUUACUUUUCUCUGUUGGAUCUGAUUGUUCUCUGUAAUAAAAGCUCUUGGAGUUACCCUCUCCAGUACAAACUGACCAACAGUAGGAAUCCAAGUAGUAGGUGGUGGUGUGCGGUGUGUGGCGGCUGGGAAAACAAAAUCCCUAAUUUCUUCUAACAGAACAAACUGUUGUAAUGUCCUUGAUGCAGAAGCCAUCAAUGAAAAAUGUGUUACAAGGUACAUCAUAUAAAAUUUCACAUGUUGUGUCAAUGCUCUUCUGUACCGUAGGAGUAAGUGGAUACCACUGUGUGGGGGCAAGCAACUAGCAAUUUUAAUAGUCAUGUUACCUCUGCCUUUUCCUUUCCAGAACCCCACUACUUAGGGGAUGGGUGCCUAAAAUUUGUGGUGCUAGAGGUUGCGCUUCACACAGGAUAUAACCAAGUAAUCCUGGUACAUGCAUUAACACAUACUAAAACAUAUUUUUAACCAUGAGAUGGUGGCAAAUGUCCAAUAUAUAGUAAUCCAAAAGGUACAUUAGGUAUUGAUAUUUCAAUAAACACUACAACAGUAAUGUGACCUGGUUACCAAUAAGCAAAUGCUUACAAUUACUACUAACAUGAACAACAGUAUUUCCCAUAUUGGCCACCAAUAUUCAGUUUCAGGAGUUAGAAGAACAUUACCU
This is a non-coding RNA of Pelobates cultripes (western spadefoot toad), 945 nucleotides long. Lineage: Eukaryota; Metazoa; Chordata; Amphibia; Anura; Pelobatidae. The record is from the annotation of a GenBank genome assembly.